UCGUGGAUUGAUUUGUCUGGUUAAUUCCGAUAACGAACGAGACCUUAACCUACUAGUUAGUUGCGCAUGGGUUUUACUCAUGUCUUUGCAACUUCUUAGAGGGACAGCUGGCUUUUAGCCAGAGGAAGUUUGAGGCAAUAACA
This 143-nucleotide ribosomal RNA is filed under the name uncultured eukaryote. Its description in RNAcentral is "partial 18S ribosomal RNA". It matches the Rfam family "Eukaryotic small subunit ribosomal RNA", at positions 1299 to 1458 of the family's 1831-position model. The record is from RNAcentral.